UUUUCCCUCAUCAUAUUUCACUUUCCCUCCCUUUCAUUUCACAACAAUCGCAAAGCCAUAAUCUCUUUCUCAUUUUUUCCUAAAACGUAAAUCACUUUUUCUCUAAACCGUGAAUCAAGUUUAACAUAAAUCCCUAAUUCCUGAAUCAAUUGAAGAAACCAUCUUUGUUUCAAGCUCUUUACAUGGAGUUCAAGGGUUUCUGAUUUAUCAAAGAAUAAAGACUAGUGAAGAAAUAUAUCAUUCGGGCUUUUGCAAAAACAACUAUUUAUCAAGAUGCAAGCUUGUCGAUGUUUUUAGAAGACAAUUGCAACAGUGUCUUUGUUUUUAGAAGACAAUCGCUACUUGAAGACACAUUUAAAUUUGCAAACUCGAGCUAUGGUGGCGGUUCAAAAAGUUCUUCAUUUUUGAAGACAACCACAAUGAUUGUUCAUCAUGCAAUUAACGAAUCUGAGAAGGCUUCUUAUGUUGCACAUACUAACAAUUACAUGGAUGAAGAUAAAUUCAUGAAGCAGUUUCUUCCAAUUGAUCCAUGUUCAAAUGUAUUGUUUGAUCUUGCUAAAGAUGGAGUUCAGCUCUGGUAAAUGAUCCAUAUUUGGUUUGAUAUGUACAUUGUUAGGUAAUUAGCUAAUUGUUGAAUCUGUUU
Molecule: long non-coding RNA, 643 nt
Organism: Lathyrus oleraceus (garden pea)
Lineage: Eukaryota; Viridiplantae; Streptophyta; Magnoliopsida; Fabales; Fabaceae
Exons: 4
Source: RefSeq, a predicted model, not a curated record